GUGGCUGUGGCUCAGCGGUAGAGUGCUUGCCUUGCAUGUGCGAGACCCUGGGUUCAAUCCUCAGCACCACA
Molecule: transfer RNA, 71 nt
Filed under: Marmota monax (woodchuck)
Lineage: Eukaryota; Metazoa; Chordata; Mammalia; Rodentia; Sciuridae
Rfam family: tRNA
About the family: Transfer RNA (tRNA) molecules are approximately 80 nucleotides in length. Their secondary structure includes four short double-helical elements and three loops (D, anti-codon, and T loops).
Source: Rfam by way of RNAcentral